Long non-coding RNA from Helianthus annuus (common sunflower), 326 nucleotides. RefSeq lists it as uncharacterized. NCBI's taxonomy places the organism in Eukaryota, Viridiplantae, Streptophyta, Magnoliopsida, Asterales, Asteraceae. The record is from RefSeq and is a predicted model, not a curated record. The transcript has 3 exons.
CUGCAGCCUCUCCUGUUCAUCAAGAACCUGAAAAUCCAGCUUCUGAAGUUCAUCAUGAAGUUACUACAAACGAAGAAGGUAGAGAGGAUGAAGAAGCUCAAAAAGUAAUAUCAACAGUUUUGGUACAAAUGGCAUCAGAAGGUAUACUGCAACCAGAUGAUGGAGGAGUCACAGACACCCUUAUUGCAAACAUUCAAACUGUGGAACCGGGUGUAUACGCUUACCAAACAACUGCCAAGGAAACUGGUGAAAAUGAAACUGUUAUCGAAGAAACAGUGAACUUGGCAGAAUCUACACAAAACAUUCAACAAAAAGUUCAGGAAAAA